Molecule: non-coding RNA, 100 nt
Filed under: Oceanobacillus oncorhynchi
Lineage: Bacteria; Bacillati; Bacillota; Bacilli; Caryophanales; Bacillaceae
Description: SAM-I sequence
Rfam family: SAM riboswitch aptamer (S box leader)
About the family: The SAM riboswitch is found upstream of a number of genes which code for proteins involved in methionine or cysteine biosynthesis in Gram-positive bacteria. The SAM riboswitch acts at the level of transcription termination control.
Source: Rfam by way of RNAcentral
CUCUUAUCAAGAGCGGUGGAGGGACUGGCCCAUUGAAACCGCGGCAACCUUCAAUCAUUGAAAAGGUGCCAAUUCCUGCAGGAAACUGUAAAGAUAAGGG